Molecule: ribosomal RNA, 483 nt
Filed under: uncultured bacterium
Lineage: Bacteria
Description: partial 16S ribosomal RNA
Rfam family: Bacterial small subunit ribosomal RNA
Source: RNAcentral
AUUGAACGCUGGCGGCAGGCCUAACACAUGCAAGUCGAGCGGAUGAAGGGAGCUUGCCCCUGGAUUCAGCGGCGGACGGGUGAGUAAUGCCUAGGAAUCUGCCUGGUAGUGGGGGAUAACGUCCGGAAACGGGCGCUAAUACCGCAUACGUCCUGAGGGAGAAAGUGGGGGAUCUUCGGACCUCACGCUAUCAGAUGAGCCUAGGUCGGAUUAGCUAGUUGGUGGGGUAAAGGCCUACCAAGGCGACGAUCCGUAACUGGUCUGAGAGGAUGAUCAGUCACACUGAACUGAGACACGGUCCAGACUCCUACGGGAGGCAGCAGUGGGGAAUAUUGGACAAAGGGCGAAAGCCUGAUCCAGCCAUGCCGCGUGUGUGAAGAAGGUCUUCGGAUUGUAAAGCACUUUAAGUUGGGAGGAAGGGCAGUAAGUUAAUACCUUGCUGUUUUGACGUUACCAACAGAAUAAGCACCGGCUAACUUCGUG